UGGAAUCUCCGAGCUCAUAAAGCUUAUUCACCUAGUCUUUGGAUUUUUUGGUUUCGUUGAUCUCGGAUGACAAUUCAAAACCCCGGGCGUGGAUCUCGUUGAGGGUCUCUCUUCGGAUAGUCGAUUCGUAUAUUACGCAUUUGCCUUCAGGUGGACUUCAGCUGCCUUCACAUCGACGGGAGGUAGUUGACAACUUGGAC
RNAcentral lists this long non-coding RNA (200 nucleotides) under Nicotiana benthamiana. RNAcentral's name for it is "long non-coding RNA (NBEN_LNC005030)". Lineage: Eukaryota; Viridiplantae; Streptophyta; Magnoliopsida; Solanales; Solanaceae. The record is from RNAcentral.